UAACGGUCCUAAGGUAGCGAAAUUCCUUGUCGGGUAAGUUCCGACCCGCACGAAUGGCGUAACGAUGGCCACACUGUCUCCUCUCGGGACUCAGCGAAGUUGAAAUGUUUGUGAAGAUGCAAUCUACCCGCGGCUAGACGGAAAGACCCCAUGAACCUUUACUGUAGCUUUACAUUGGACUUUGACAAGAUUUGUGUAGGAUAGGUGGGAGACGUUGAAGCGGAGUCGCUAGAUUUCGUGGAGUCAACCUUGAAAUACCACCCUGAUGUUGUUGAGGUUCUAACCUAGGUCCAUAAUCUGGACUGGGGACCGUGUAUGGUGGGCAGUUUGACUGGGGCGGUCUCCUCCCAAAGAGUAACGGAGGAGUGCGAAGGUAACCUAGGUACGGUCGGAAAUCGUACUGAUAGUGCAAUGGCAUAAGGUUGCUUGACUGCGAGACGGACAGGUCGAGCAGGUGCGAAAGCAGGUCAUAGUGAUCCGGUGGUUCUGUAUGGAAGGGCCAUCGCUCAACGGAUAAAAGGUACUCUGGGGAUAACAGGCUGAUUCCUCCCAAGAGUUCAUAUCGACGGGGGAGUUUGGCACCUCGAUGUCGGCUCAUCACAUCCUGGGGCUGUAGCCGGUCCCAAGGGUAUGGCUGUUCGCCAUUUAAAGUGGUACGUGAGCUGGGUUUAAAACGUCGUGAGACAGUUUGGUCCCUAUCUGCCGUGGGCGCUGCAAGUUUGAGGGGACCUGCUCCUAGUACGAGAGGACCGGAGUGGACACACCGCUGGUGGACCAGUUAUCAUGCCAAUGGUAUCGCUGGGUAGCUAAGUGUGGAAGAGAUAAACGCUGAAAGCAUCUAAGCGUGAAACUCGCCUCAAGAUGAGACUUGCCGGGGGUUUAACCCCCCUAAAGGGUCGUUCGAGACCAGGACGUUGAUAGGUCAGGUGUGGAAGCGCAGUAAUGCGUUAAGCUAACUGAUACUAAUUGCCCGUGAGGCUUGAUCCU
RNAcentral lists this ribosomal RNA (987 nucleotides) under mixed culture metagenome. RNAcentral's name for it is "bacterial LSU rRNA". It matches the Rfam family "Bacterial large subunit ribosomal RNA", at positions 1943 to 2925 of the family's 2925-position model. The record is from RNAcentral.